RNAcentral lists this ribosomal RNA (442 nucleotides) under uncultured bacterium. Its description in RNAcentral is "partial 16S ribosomal RNA". It matches the Rfam family "Bacterial small subunit ribosomal RNA", at positions 338 to 795 of the family's 1533-position model. The record is from RNAcentral.
CCUACGGGGGGCAGCAGUGGGGAAUAUUGGGCAAUGGGCGCAAGCCUGACCCAGCAACGCCGCGUGAAUGAAGAAGGCUUUCGGGUUGUAAACUUCUUUUGUCAGGGAAGAGCAGAAGACGGUACCUGACUAAUAAGCCACGGCUAACUACGUGCCAGCAGCAGCGGUAAUACGUAGGUGGCAAGCGUUGUCAGGAUUUACUGGGUUGAAAGGGCGGGUAGCCGGGUUGACAAGUCAGAUGUGAAAUCCUGCGUCUUAACCGUAGAACUGCAUUUGAAACAGUUGAUCUUGAGUACUGGAGAGGAAGACGGAAUUCCUAGUGUAGCGGUGAAAUGCGUAGAUAUUAGGAGGAACACCAGUGGCGAAGGCGGUCUGCUGGACAGUAACUGACGGUGAGGCGCGAAAGCGUGGGGAGCAAACAGGAUUAGAUACCCCAGUAGUC